CACGUAGGGGACGAGCGUUGUUCGGAAUUACUGGGCGUAAAGCGCGUGUAGGCGGCCCUGCAAGUCGGAUGUGAAAUCCCACGGCUCAACCGUGGAAGUGCAUUCGAAACUGCAGGGCUAGAGUCCUGGAGAGGAAGGUGGAAUGCUUGGUGUAGAGGUGAAAUUCGUAGAUAUCAAGCGGAACACCGGUGGCGAAGGCGGCCUUCUGGACAGUGACUGACGCUGAGACGCGAAAGCGUGGGGAGCAAACAGG
RNAcentral lists this ribosomal RNA (253 nucleotides) under uncultured bacterium. RNAcentral's name for it is "partial 16S ribosomal RNA". It matches the Rfam family "Bacterial small subunit ribosomal RNA", at positions 524 to 776 of the family's 1533-position model. The record is from RNAcentral.